CUACGGGGGGCACCAGUGAGGAAUAUUGCACAAUGGGGGGAACCCUGAUGCAGCAACGCCGCGUGGAGGAUGACGCAUUUCGGUGUGUAAACUCCUUUUAUAUGUCAAGCAAAUGACGGUAGCAUAUGAAUAAGCACCGGCUAACUCCGUGCCAGCAGCCGCGGUAAUACGGAGGGUGCAAGCGUUACUCGGAAUCACUGGGCGUAAAGGACGCGUAGGCGGAUUGGAAAGUCAGGUGUGAAAUCCUACAGCUUAACUGUAGAACUGCACUUGAAACUUCUAAUCUAGAGUAUGGGAGGGGGAGAUGGAAUUAGUGGUGUAGGGGUAAAAUCCGUAGAUAUCACUAGGAAUACCUAAAGCGAAGGCGAUCUCCUGGAACAUUACUGACGCUAAGGCGUGAAAGCGUGGGGAGCAAACAGGAUUAGAUACCCCCGUAGUC
Molecule: ribosomal RNA, 439 nt
Filed under: uncultured bacterium
Lineage: Bacteria
Description: partial 16S ribosomal RNA
Rfam family: Bacterial small subunit ribosomal RNA
Source: RNAcentral